UAAGAAGCAUGCUGUGAUAUUGAGUCAAUUGGUUGCCCAAUCACAGACAUCUUUCACUGACAGAGUAACAGCAAUGCUCAUUUUCAAAUCAUAUGAGAAGGCCUUGCUAACUGAUGGUCGAUGCUCACAGGUGUGUGGGCUUUGAGCAGUCGCUACACCUUCCCUCUUCAGGCAUGAUGAGAGGAUUCCUGCAGCGUUUUGCAAGAGGGUCCACACUACCUUUAUGAGCUGUAACACUCACCGUGAAGGUCUGCAGCUUCACUCCUGAAGCCAGCGAGACCACGAACCCACCGGGAGGAACGAACAACUCCAGAUGCGCCGCCUUAAGAGCUGUAAUACUCACCACGAAGGUCUGCACCUUCACUGCUGAGCAAGCGAGACCACGAACCCACCAGAAGAAAGAAACUCCUAACACAUCCGAACAUCAGAAGGAAGAAACUCCAGACGUGCCAUCUUAAGAGCUGUAACACUCACCGUGAAGGUCUGCAGCUUCAUUGUUGAAGUCAGUGAGACCAAGAACCCACCAAUUCCGGACACAGAAGGACGAGGAAUGAAGGGUGUUCCGGUGGGUACAUGUUGGCUCCUUUGCUCAGCUCAAGUGACCUCUGAAGCCUGUUCUACCUUUCACAGUGGGAAGAGAGGAAAGGGUCACUAGAGUCAUGUGUAAAAUGUGGCUCCAUCUUCUCAAAUCAGGGAUGAAUGCCUGCCUAUUUCUGGAUAUGUCAGGGAAGGCAGACACAGAGAGUUAGAGAAAGGGAAAGAGAAUGAGACAGAGAGAGACAGAGAUAAGAAGGGGGAGAGGGAGUGAAAAAGAGAGAAGGAGAGGGUAAGGGAGAGGAAGGGAGGGAAAGGGGGAGAGAGAGAAAGAGGGAGGGAGAGAGAGAAACAGAGGAGACAGGGCUGAGAUACCAGACAGUGGAUUUAGAGUUCCUGGUUCCCACAAGGCUCUUUGUGUGAAUCAGAACAAGUUUUUCCCACUGGACAGCUGCAUCCCUAUGGGUCCAUGGCUUUCCCACUGGGCUGCAUCUUGAUAUGAAUUAGAAAAUGUCAUCUUUAAGUUGGAGAUUCUCCACCUCAGCACUGUGGACAUUUGGGCCAGAUAAUUCUGCUUUGGUGGGCUGUCCUGUGUAGAAUGUUUAUAGUAGCAUUCCUGGCCAUUACUCACUAGGUGCCAGUAGAAUGUAUAUCAAAUUGUGACAAUCAAAAAUGUGUUCAGGUAUUGCCAAGUGCCUCCUGGAAGGCAAAAUUGCUCCCUGUGAGAUCCGCUAACUUAAGUGAACAUAGCUGCGUGCAGGAGUGCAUGGUUUGGAGAAAGGAUUGUAGGUGGGUUUUUAGUCGUUCCCCAACGACUUUCUGGGCUCCAGUUGCUUCCUUGGCCAGGUACACUUGUGCAGUGCACAAUCUCCACAACUGUACAUAGCAGUCCUGCUGGUUCCUGUGCAUUCCUGUGUCAUGGCUGAAUCUCUUCCACUGGGUUCUCUGGGACACUCUUGAGUCCUUAAAGCAAAUGUGCCCUUUAUACAUUGUCUGUCUUGACUUUAGUUUUAUUUGUAGGUGAACAGCCAUUGUUCUCUUCUUAUCCCUCCAUCUCUGUUUGUGUUUUAUCAGAAAUUUCAAAAGAUGCUACUCUGUUUAUGUUAGCACAAGUAGCUACUGUGUGUGUUUCGAAACUUUUUGCAAGUGUGAAAGUGUUUGGUUUGAAAGGUGGUACCUGUAUUCAACACUCAUCAAAUCUCUUCUUCAAGGGCCUUUUCUUUUUUCUCUGACCUUUUAUUUUUGGACCAAACACCUCUAAGACACCAUAGAGUGUAUCAGUUUCCUUACAAAAAUGUGGCAUCGUUCACUUCAUUAACGCUGUUUGAUCUUUGACAAGUGAUAAAGGUGUGAUAUGAAACAUAAUUUCUCAUAACUUGAAGAUACUCCAAUUAGCAUAUAUGAGAUGGGAAAAAAUAAAGAGGGUAUUUUCUAAUUAAUUGAAAAUCAUGCUUAGAUUUAGAAUGGUGUUUCCCAAACUAUCAGGUCUGUAAGUUCACAAGAAAGAAUCACCACCAUUUUUAAGUAACAAAAAUAAAAUAAUAUUUUGAACA
This 2087-nucleotide long non-coding RNA is filed under the name Homo sapiens (human). RNAcentral describes it as "HSALNT0132366". Lineage: Eukaryota; Metazoa; Chordata; Mammalia; Primates; Hominidae. The record is from RNAcentral.